Molecule: small nuclear RNA, 186 nt
Organism: Daphnia magna
Lineage: Eukaryota; Metazoa; Arthropoda; Branchiopoda; Diplostraca; Daphniidae
Product: U2 spliceosomal RNA
Exons: 1
Source: RefSeq, a predicted model, not a curated record
ACAGCUUUAUUCCCAGUCCAUUGGAAAAUACAAAGCAUAAAAUCUGUUCUUAUCAGCUUAAUAUCUGAUACGGGUUCAAAUGAACCCCAGAAUAUUAAACUGAUUUUUGGAAUUCGGUGGGAAAUCAAUGCUUGCAUUGAUAUUUAUAUUGAACACCAUAUAGCGCGCGAACACGGUUUGUCCACU